Molecule: ribosomal RNA, 873 nt
Filed under: Ktedonobacter sp. enrichment culture clone CTBE CDB1001C06
Lineage: Bacteria; Bacillati; Chloroflexota; Ktedonobacteria; Ktedonobacterales; Ktedonobacteraceae
Description: bacterial SSU rRNA
Rfam family: Bacterial small subunit ribosomal RNA
Source: RNAcentral
GCAAGUCGGACGUCCUGUCUCCUCCAGGAGAGAGGGAGUGGCGGACGGGUGAGUAGCACGUGGGUGACCUACCUUGGGGUGAGGAAUACCGGCGCGAAAGUGCCGACAAGACCGCAUAGGCUUGUGCAAGCAAGCAAAGCUGCUUUCGGGCAGCGCCCUGAGAUGGGCCCGCGGCCGAUUAGCUGGUUGGUGGGGUAAUGGCCUACCAAGGCGACGAUCGGUAGCUGGUCUGAGAGGACGAUCAGCCACACUGGGAUUGAGAACGGCCCAGACUCCUACGGGGGGCAGCAGUGAGGAAUUUUCGGCAAUGGGGGCAACCCUGACCGAGCAACGCCGCGUGCAGGAGGACGGCCUUCGGGUUGUAAACUGCUUUUCGCUGGGACGAGCAAGGACGGUACCAGCGGAAGAAGCCCCGGCUAACUACGUGCCAGCAGCCGCGGUAAUACGUAGGGGGCCAGCGUUGUCCGGAGUUACUGGGCGUAAAGCGCACGCAGGCGGUCGUGUCAGUUCUGGCUGACAGUGCUCGGCUUAACUGAGUAAGGAGCCGGAAAACUACAGGACUGGAGGGCCUCAGAAGGACCAGAAUUCCGGGUGGAACGGUGAAAUGCGUAGAGAACCGGAAUAAUACCUAAAGGGGAAAAACGUGGCCCUGGGAGGUACCUGAAGCUCCGGUGUAAAUAACAAGGGAAUGAACGGAUUUAAAUCCCCGGGUAGUCCCCGCCGCAAACGAGUACCAACAAGACUGGGAAGGAUGGAGCCCUUCCAGGGCGGGGCUUUACCACAUAAGUGGUCCGCUCGGGAAACACGGGCGACAGGCUGAAACCCCAUCAGAUUGCCGGGGGCCCCAUUAGCAUGUGAAUGAUAGGGCUUUUA